This 503-nucleotide ribosomal RNA is filed under the name uncultured bacterium. RNAcentral describes it as "partial 16S ribosomal RNA". It matches the Rfam family "Bacterial small subunit ribosomal RNA", at positions 30 to 523 of the family's 1533-position model. The record is from RNAcentral.
AUUGAACGCUGGCGGCAGGCUUAACACAUGCAAGUCGAGCGGGGUGAUGGUGCUUGCACUAUCACUUAGCGGCGGACGGGUGAGUAAUGCUUAGGAAUCUGCCUAUUAGUGGGGGACAACAUCCCGAAAGGGAUGCUAAUACCGCAUCCGUCCUACGGGAGAAAGCAGGGGAUCACUUGUGACCUUGCGCUAAUCGAUGAGCCUAAGUCGGAUUAGCUAGUUGGUGGGGUAAAGGCCUACCAAGGCGACGAUCUGUAGCGGGUCUGAGAGGAUGAUCCGCCACACUGGGACUGAGACACGGCCCAGACUCCUACGGGAGGCAGCAGUGGGGAAUAUUGGACAAUGGGGGGAACCCUGAUCCAGCCAUGCCGCGUGUGUGAAGAAGGCCUUAUGGUUGUAAAGCACUUUAAGCGAGGAGGAGGCUCUUUUGGUUAAUACCCAAGAUGAGUGGACGUUACUCGCAGAAUAAGCACCGGCUAACUCUGUGCCAGCCGCCGCCGUAA